GAUUAACGCUAGCGGCAGGCAUAAUACAUGCAAGUUGAACGGCAGCACAGGUAGCAAUACUGGGUGGCGAGUGGCGCACGGGUGCGUAACACGUAUGCAACCUACCCUAUACAGGCGAAUAACCUUUAGAAAUGAGGGCUAAUACGCCGUAGUAUUACAGAUGGGCAUCUAUUUGUAAUUAAAGAUUUAUCGGUAUAGGAUGGGCAUGCGUCCCAUUAGUUAGUUGGUAAGGUAACGGCUUACCAAGACGAUGAUGGGUAGGGGAUCUGAGAGGACUUACCCCCACACUGGUACUGAGACACGGACCAGACUCCUACGGGAGGCAGCAGUAAGGAAUAUUGAGCAAUGGCCGCGAGGCUGACCCAGCCAUGCCGCGUGCAGGAAGACGGCCUUAUGGGUUGUAAACUGCUUUUAUACGGGAAUUAUAGAGUGUACGCGUACAUUUAUGCAAGUAUCGUAUGAAUAAGCAUCGGCUAACUCCGUG
This 484-nucleotide ribosomal RNA is filed under the name uncultured bacterium. RNAcentral's name for it is "partial 16S ribosomal RNA". It matches the Rfam family "Bacterial small subunit ribosomal RNA", at positions 28 to 507 of the family's 1533-position model. The record is from RNAcentral.